Molecule: ribosomal RNA, 118 nt
Filed under: Pteropus alecto (black flying fox)
Lineage: Eukaryota; Metazoa; Chordata; Mammalia; Chiroptera; Pteropodidae
Source: RNAcentral
GUCUACAGCCAGGCCACCCCGAACAAGCCGGGUCCCGUCUGAUCUCAGAAGCUAAGCAGGGUCGGGCCUGGUUAGUACUUGGAUGGGAGACCACUUAGGAAGACAGGUGCUAUAGGUG